UACGUAGGGAGCAAGCGUUGUUCGGAUUUACUGGGCGUAAAGCGUGCGCAGGCGGUUUUGUAAGCCAGAUGUGAAAUCCCCGGGCUUAACCUGGGAAUGGCAUUUGGGACUGCAAGGCUGGAGUGUGGCAGAGGAGACUGGAAUUCCCGGUGUAGCAGUGAAACGCGUAGAUAUCGGGAGGAAUACCGAUGGCGAAGGCAGGUCUCUGGGCUGACACUGACGCUCAUGCACGAAAGCGUGGGGAGCAAACAGG
Molecule: ribosomal RNA, 253 nt
Filed under: uncultured bacterium
Lineage: Bacteria
Description: partial 16S ribosomal RNA
Rfam family: Bacterial small subunit ribosomal RNA
Source: RNAcentral